Molecule: unclassified non-coding RNA, 218 nt
Filed under: soil metagenome
Description: partial contains 5.8S ribosomal RNA, internal transcribed spacer 2, and large subunit ribosomal RNA
Source: RNAcentral
AACAUCGCGCACCUGCGGGAACCUGCGGAAGGAUCAUUAUCGAGUUUACAACUCCCAAACCCCUGUGAACAUACCAAUCGUUGCCUCGGCGGGACCGCCCCGGCGCCCCCGGGCCCGGACCCAGGCGCCCGCCGGAGGACCCCCAAACUCACUUGAUUCCACGGUGUAUCUUCUGAGUGACACAAGCAAAUAAAAUCAAAACUUUUAACAACGGAUCU